GAGGCCGUAGCUCAGUCGGUAGAGCACCUCCCUUUUAAGGAGGGUGUCCCGGGUUCGAUUCCCGGCGGCCUCA
Molecule: transfer RNA, 73 nt
Filed under: Leptospiraceae bacterium
Lineage: Bacteria; Pseudomonadati; Spirochaetota; Leptospiria; Leptospirales; Leptospiraceae
Description: tRNA-Lys
Rfam family: tRNA
About the family: Transfer RNA (tRNA) molecules are approximately 80 nucleotides in length.
Source: RNAcentral